UCAUGGCUCAUUCUUAGACGCACGCAUCACCGUAGGUUUUUAACCUUCAACAGACCCCCUAACCAAUCAAAAACCGCUCGAUCGACGAUUCGCAACUGGGGAAAAAAACCCGUUUCCAAACAGUGUCUAAUUUGGAAGGUUGAAUUCAGGGAAAGGAAAAUUGAAAAAAAAAAAAAAAGGAAAGUUGGGGCUCAUUGCUAUUUGCCUCAACUCAAGACAAUUACUCGGUGCCUUUCUAUUGUUUGGUUUUGUCCUCUCUCUCUAAAACAGUUGCGUUGAACUGCUGCAGAGACCAAUUUGAAUCUUUACCUAUAUCUGCAUUCUGAUAUGAGGCCAAAUGGAAAAAUGACUUGGGAAAUUUAGAUGAUCCAGGAAUUACAAGUCUUUGUGAGCUCCUUGAUGGGAGUACUGAUGUGGAUGCCUCACUGAAAAGACGUAUGAAGAAUACCUGGAAGCCCAUGACAGAACCAGCAAAUGAUUAUUACUUUAAUAUGGUUAGUUGAAUGGGGGCAAGAUGUUGGGUCCUAUUGAUUGGAAGUUCGAUUGAUUGCAUUAGAGUUCUGAAGUUCUAUUAGAUGACUGCACCAUAUCACACAAUACAGGAGUCAACAAGUAGAAACCAUGGUGAUGAUUCAAACUCAAGUUUGGUAACUGACCGUCGCCAUUCUCGCAAGG
Durio zibethinus is the source of this 675-nucleotide non-coding RNA. NCBI's taxonomy places the organism in Eukaryota, Viridiplantae, Streptophyta, Magnoliopsida, Malvales, Malvaceae. The record is from RefSeq and is a predicted model, not a curated record.